GACGAACGCUGGAGGCGUGCUUAACACAUGCAAGUCGAACGAUGAAAUGGAGCUUGCUCCAUGGAUUAGUGGCGAAUGGGUGAGUAACACGUGAAUAACCUGCCCUUAAUUUUGGAAUAACCCAGGGAAACCUGGGCUAAUACCGGAUAAGUAAACCUGCGGCAUCACAUGGUUCUGGAAAGUUUUUCGAUUAAGGAAGGAUUCGCGGCCUAUCAGCUUGUUGGUGAGGUAAUGGCCCACCAAGGGGACGACGGGUAGCCGGCCUGAGAGGGGGAACGGCCACACUGGGACUGAGACACGGCCCAGACUCCUACGGGAGGCAGCAGUGGGGAAUAUUGCGCAAUGGACGAAAGUCUGACGCAGCGACGCCUCGUGAGGGACGAAGGUCUUCGGAUUGUAAACCUCUUUCAGCAGGGACGAAGCGAAAGUGACGGUACCUGCAGAAGAAGCACCGGCUAACUAUGUGCCAGCCGCCGCGGUAA
Molecule: ribosomal RNA, 482 nt
Filed under: uncultured bacterium
Lineage: Bacteria
Description: partial 16S ribosomal RNA
Rfam family: Bacterial small subunit ribosomal RNA
Source: RNAcentral